AGAGUUUGAUCAUGGCUCAGAACGAACGCUGGCGGCAUGCUUCAUACAUGCAAGUCGAACGUGAAAGACCUUCGGGUCAAGUAAAGUGGCGCACGGGUGAGUAACGCGUAGAUAAUCUGCCCCGCUGUCUGGGAUAACCUUCCGAAAGGGAGGCUAAUACCGGAUAACACGAUUUCUUUUGAGGGAGUCGUUGAAAGUUGCGGCGCAACGGGAUGAGUCUGCGUCCCAUUAGCUAGUUGGUGGGGUAAAGGCCUACCAAGGCGACGAUGGGUAGCGGGUUUGAGAGGACGAUCCGCCACACUGGAACUGAGACACGGUCCAGACUCCUACGGGAGGCAGCAGUAGGGAAUCUUGCGCAAUGGGCGAAAGCCUGACGCAGCAAUGCCGCGUGAGUGAAGAAGGCCCUCGGGUCGUAAAGCUCUUUAUCUUCGGGAAGAUGAUGACGGUACCGAAGGAAGAAGCACCGGCUAACUACGUGCCAGCAGCCGCGGUAAUACGUAGGGUGCAAGCGUUGUUCGGAAUCACUGGGCGUAAAGGGCGUGUAGGCGGAACGAUUAGCGAGGGGUGAAAUCCCGGGGCUCAACCCCGGAACUGCUCUUCGAACUGUCGAUCUAGAGAAGGUCAGGGGCCGGCGGAAUUCCUGGUGUAGAGGUGAAAUUCGUAGAGAUCAGGAGGAACAUCGGAGGCGAAGGCGGCCGGCUGGGGCCAUUCUGACGCUGAGGCGCGAAAGCGUGGGGAGCAAACAGGAUUAGAUACCCUGGUAGUCCACGCCGUAAACGAUGGGUACUAGGUGUCCGGGAUGUUCGACCAUUCUGGGUACCGCAGCUAACGCAGUAAGUACCCCGCCUGGGAAGUACGGUCGCAAGACUAAAACUCAAAGGAAUUGACG
This 889-nucleotide ribosomal RNA is filed under the name uncultured bacterium. Its description in RNAcentral is "bacterial SSU rRNA". It matches the Rfam family "Bacterial small subunit ribosomal RNA", at positions 8 to 915 of the family's 1533-position model. The record is from RNAcentral.